AUACUUACCUGACAAGGAAGAGACAAUGAUCGAGAAGGUGGUCUUCCCAGGGCUAAACUCACUCAUUUCCCUCCAGAUGUGCUGACCUCUGUGAUUUCUCCAUGUGGGAAAUUUGACUGCAUAAUUCCUGGUAGUGGAGGGACUGGGAUUGGCACUCCUCCC
This is a small nuclear RNA of Rattus norvegicus (Norway rat), 162 nucleotides long. Ensembl annotates it as U1 spliceosomal RNA. Lineage: Eukaryota; Metazoa; Chordata; Mammalia; Rodentia; Muridae. The record is from Ensembl.